AUUGAACGCUGGCGGCAUGCCUUACACAUGCAAGUCGAACGGCAGCAUGAUCUAGCUUGCUAGAUUGAUGGCGAGUGGCGCACGGGUGAGUAAUACAUCGGAACGUGCCCUGUCGUGGGGGAUAACUAGUCGAAAGAUUAGCUAAUACCGCAUACGACCUGAGGGUGAAAGUGGGGGACCGCAAGGCCUCAUGCUAUAGGAGCGGCCGAUGUCUGAUUAGCUAGUUGGUGUGGUAAAGGCUCACCAAGGCGACGAUCAGUAGCUGGUCUGAGAGGACGAUCAGCCCCACUGGAACGGAGACACGGCCCAGACUCCUACGGGAGGCAGCAGUGGGGAAUUUUGGACAAUGGGCGAAAGCCUGAUCCAGCAAUGCCGCGUGUGUGAAGAAGGCCUUCGGGUUGUAAAGCACUUUUGUCCGGAAAGAAAUGGCUCUGGUUAAUACCUGGGGUCGAUGACGGUACCGGAAGAAUAAGGACCGGCUAACUACGUG
Molecule: ribosomal RNA, 490 nt
Filed under: uncultured bacterium
Lineage: Bacteria
Description: partial 16S ribosomal RNA
Rfam family: Bacterial small subunit ribosomal RNA
Source: RNAcentral